RNAcentral lists this ribosomal RNA (1537 nucleotides) under Staphylococcus aureus VET0283R. RNAcentral describes it as "partial 16S ribosomal RNA". It matches the Rfam family "Bacterial small subunit ribosomal RNA". The record is from RNAcentral. Lineage: Bacteria; Bacillati; Bacillota; Bacilli; Caryophanales; Staphylococcaceae.
AGAGUUUGAUCCUGGCUCAGGAUGAACGCUGGCGGCGUGCCUAAUACAUGCAAGUCGAGCGAACGGACGAGAAGCUUGCUUCUCUGAUGUUAGCGGCGGACGGGUGAGUAACACGUGGAUAACCUACCUAUAAGACUGGGAUAACUUCGGGAAACCGGAGCUAAUACCGGAUAAUAUUUUGAACCGCAUGGUUCAAAAGUGAAAGACGGUCUUGCUGUCACUUAUAGAUGGAUCCGCGCUGCAUUAGCUAGUUGGUAAGGUAACGGCUUACCAAGGCAACGAUGCAUAGCCGACCUGAGAGGGUGAUCGGCCACACUGGAACUGAGACACGGUCCAGACUCCUACGGGAGGCAGCAGUAGGGAAUCUUCCGCAAUGGGCGAAAGCCUGACGGAGCAACGCCGCGUGAGUGAUGAAGGUCUUCGGAUCGUAAAACUCUGUUAUUAGGGAAGAACAUAUGUGUAAGUAACUGUGCACAUCUUGACGGUACCUAAUCAGAAAGCCACGGCUAACUACGUGCCAGCAGCCGCGGUAAUACGUAGGUGGCAAGCGUUAUCCGGAAUUAUUGGGCGUAAAGCGCGCGUAGGCGGUUUUUUAAGUCUGAUGUGAAAGCCCACGGCUCAACCGUGGAGGGUCAUUGGAAACUGGAAAACUUGAGUGCAGAAGAGGAAAGUGGAAUUCCAUGUGUAGCGGUGAAAUGCGCAGAGAUAUGGAGGAACACCAGUGGCGAAGGCGACUUUCUGGUCUGUAACUGACGCUGAUGUGCGAAAGCGUGGGGAUCAAACAGGAUUAGAUACCCUGGUAGUCCACGCCGUAAACGAUGAGUGCUAAGUGUUAGGGGGUUUCCGCCCCUUAGUGCUGCAGCUAACGCAUUAAGCACUCCGCCUGGGGAGUACGACCGCAAGGUUGAAACUCAAAGGAAUUGACGGGGACCCGCACAAGCGGUGGAGCAUGUGGUUUAAUUCGAAGCAACGCGAAGAACCUUACCAAAUCUUGACAUCCUUUGACAACUCUAGAGAUAGAGCCUUCCCCUUCGGGGGACAAAGUGACAGGUGGUGCAUGGUUGUCGUCAGCUCGUGUCGUGAGAUGUUGGGUUAAGUCCCGCAACGAGCGCAACCCUUAAGCUUAGUUGCCAUCAUUAAGUUGGGCACUCUAAGUUGACUGCCGGUGACAAACCGGAGGAAGGUGGGGAUGACGUCAAAUCAUCAUGCCCCUUAUGAUUUGGGCUACACACGUGCUACAAUGGACAAUACAAAGGGCAGCGAAACCGCGAGGUCAAGCAAAUCCCAUAAAGUUGUUCUCAGUUCGGAUUGUAGUCUGCAACUCGACUACAUGAAGCUGGAAUCGCUAGUAAUCGUAGAUCAGCAUGCUACGGUGAAUACGUUCCCGGGUCUUGUACACACCGCCCGUCACACCACGAGAGUUUGUAACACCCGAAGCCGGUGGAGUAACCUUUUAGGAGCUAGCCGUCGAAGGUGGGACAAAUGAUUGGGGUGAAGUCGUAACAAGGUAGCCGUAUCGGAAGGUGCGGCUGGAUCA